RNAcentral lists this ribosomal RNA (549 nucleotides) under Colletotrichum gloeosporioides. RNAcentral's name for it is "eukaryotic LSU rRNA". The stretch from base 176 to 329 matches the Rfam family "5.8S ribosomal RNA". Lineage: Eukaryota; Fungi; Ascomycota; Sordariomycetes; Glomerellales; Glomerellaceae. The record is from RNAcentral.
ACCGGGAAUCAAGUUAGCUCUCACCCUUUGUGACAUACCUAUAACUGUUGCUUCGGCGGGUAGGGUCUCCGCGACCCUCCCGGCCUCCCGCCUCCGGGCGGGUCGGCGCCCGCCGGAGGAUAACCAAACUCUGAUUUAACGACGUUUCUUCUGAGUGGUACAAGCAAAUAAUCAAAACUUUUAACAACGGAUCUCUUGGUUCUGGCAUCGAUGAAGAACGCAGCGAAAUGCGAUAAGUAAUGUGAAUUGCAGAAUUCAGUGAAUCAUCGAAUCUUUGAACGCACAUUGCGCCCGCCAGCAUUCUGGCGGGCAUGCCUGUUCGAGCGUCAUUUCAACCCUCAAGCUCUGCUUGGUGUUGGGGCCCUACAGCUGAUGUAGGCCCUCAAAGGUAGUGGCGGACCCUCUCGGAGCCUCCUUUGCGUAGUAACUUUACGUCUCGCACUGGGAUCCGGAGGGACUCUUGCCGUAAAACCCCCAAUUUUCCAAAGGUUGACCUCGGAUCAGGUAGGAAUACCCGCUGAACUUAAGCAUAUCAAUAAACGGGAAGAA